GGACUCAUCCGAGGCCCCGUAAUCGGAAUGAAUACACUUUAAAUCCUUUAAUGAGGAUCCAUUGGAGGGCAAGUCUGGUGCCAGCAGCCGCGGUAAUUCCAGCUCCAAUAGCGUAUAUUAAAGUUGUUGCGGUUAAAAAGCUCGUAGUUGAAUCUGUGUUUCAUACUGUUUGGUUCAUCGCUCGUCGAUGUUAACUGGCAUGUUAUGAAACGUCCUACCGGUGGACUUAGCUGAAUGUAAAAAUUUGGCGGUUCAAUUUAAUCCUAUCGCGGUGCUCUUAAUUGAGUGUCGAGAUGGGCCGGUACGUUUACUUUGAACAAAUUAGAGUGCUUAAAGCAGGCUUAUUUUGCCUGAAUACUGUGUGCAUGGAAUAAUAGAAUAGGACCUCGGUUCUAUUUUGUUGGUUUUCGGAACUCCGAGGUAAUGAUUAAUAGGGACAGAUGGGGGCAUUCGUAUUGCGACGUUAGAGGUGAAAUUCUUGGAUCGUCGCAAGACGAACAGAAGCGAAAGCAUUUGCCAAAAAUGUUUUCAUUAAUCAAGAACGAAAGUUAGAGGUUCGAAGGCGAUCAGAUACCGCCCUAGUUCUAACCAUAAACGAUGCCAGCUAGCGAUCCGCCGAUGUUCCUCCGAUGACUCGGCGGGCAGCUUCCGGGAAACCAAAGCUUUUGGGUUCCGGGGGAAGUAUGGUUGCAAAGCUGAAACUUAAAGGAAU
Molecule: ribosomal RNA, 712 nt
Filed under: Fornicia sp. BJS-2011
Lineage: Eukaryota; Metazoa; Arthropoda; Insecta; Hymenoptera; Braconidae
Description: SSU rRNA
Rfam family: Eukaryotic small subunit ribosomal RNA
Source: RNAcentral